Molecule: non-coding RNA, 699 nt
Filed under: Costaticella bicuspis
Lineage: Eukaryota; Metazoa; Bryozoa; Gymnolaemata; Cheilostomatida; Catenicellidae
Source: RNAcentral
AGUUUUACUCUGGCUUAUGUUAAAUUGUUCCAAUUUUAUGCAUGCAAAUAUUAGUCCAAUACUUAAAAAAAAAAUAGCAGCAUAUAAUAUUACACAAUUAGUGAAAGCUAGAUGAAAAAAAGGAAAAAAGAUAGAAAAAAUUGUGCCAGCAUCUGCGGUUACACAAUUAUCUUAAAUUUAACUAAUAGGAAAACGUAAUAAAAAAAAAUAUAUGUAAUGGUAUAAUAGAAAAACAAAAAACUUUUUUUUAUAGAUUCGUGAAAGUUUAUCUUAGAACUAGGAUUAGAUACCCUACUACUAAAAACUGUAAAAAUAUCUAGGGCAUUAAGAGCAUAGCUUAAAACCUAAAGAGUUUGGCGGCUUUCCUCUACCAGGGGAGCUUGUCAUUUAAACGAUAAUCCGCGAUACAUUUUACUUAUUUUAAAGUUUGUAUACCUCCGUUGUGUUAAUAUAAAAAAUAAAAGAAAUUAGCAAAAGAUCUUCCUAACCUCAGGUAAAGGUGCAACCUAUAAAUAAGAAUUAGAUGAGCUACUUUAAAAUUUUAAUGAAAAUAUUUACAAAAGUUUUUAUAAAAAAGUACUUGGCAGUAAUUUUUUUUUAAAACAAAAAAAUGAAAAUAUAUGGAAAGUGCACAAAUCGCCCGUCAAUUCCAUAUCUGGAAUAAGUCGUAACAAAGUAGGCGUACCUGAAGGUGUGCCU